RNAcentral lists this ribosomal RNA (466 nucleotides) under uncultured bacterium. Its description in RNAcentral is "partial 16S ribosomal RNA". It matches the Rfam family "Bacterial small subunit ribosomal RNA", at positions 28 to 507 of the family's 1533-position model. The record is from RNAcentral.
GACGAACGCUGGCGGUGUGCUUAACACAUGCAAGUCGAACGGUAAGGCCCUUUCGGGGGUACACGAGUGGCGAACGGGUGAGUAACACGUGAGUAACCUGCCCUCAUCUCUGGGAUAACAGUCGGAAACGGUUGCUAAUACUGGAUAUGAGCUUGCAAGGCAUCUUGUGGGUUGGAAAGAUUUUUUUGGUUGGGGAUGGACUCGCGGCCUAUCAGCUUGUUGGUGAGGUAGUGGCUCACCAAGGCUUCGACGGGUAGCCGGCCUGAGAGGGCGACCGGCCACAUUGGGACUGAGAUACGGCCCAAACUCCUACGGGAGGCAGCAGUGGGGAAUAUUGCACAAUGGACGGAAGUCUGAUGCAGUAACGCCGCGUGCGGGAUGACGGCCUUCGGGUUGUAAACCGCUUUCAAUUGUGACGAAGCUUUUUGUGACGGUAGCAGUAGAAGAAGCACCGGCUAACUACGUG